UACAGAGGUCCCGAGCGUUGUUCGGAUUUAUUGGGCGUAAAGGGUGCGUAGGCGGCGGAGUAAGUUGGGUGUGAAAUCCCGGGGCUUAACCUCGGAAUUGCAUUCAAUACUGCUUCGCUAGAGUACUGGAGAGGAGGCUGGAAUUUACGGUGUAGCAGUGAAAUGCGUAGAUAUCAGAAGGAACAUCAGUGGCGAAGGCGGCUUCCUGGACCAAUACUGACGAUCAGGUGCGAAAGCGUGGGGAGCAAACAGG
Molecule: ribosomal RNA, 253 nt
Filed under: uncultured bacterium
Lineage: Bacteria
Description: partial 16S ribosomal RNA
Rfam family: Bacterial small subunit ribosomal RNA
Source: RNAcentral